ACGGCUCAGUAACACGUAGUCAACAUGCCCAAAGGACGUGGAUAACCUCGGGAAACUGAGGAUAAACCGCGAUAGGUCAUAAGUACUGGAAUGUUUUGUGGCUCAAAUCUACAUGGCCUCUGGAUUGGACUGCGGCCGAUCAGGCUGUUGGUGAGGUAAUGGCCCACCAAACCUGUUACCGGUACGGGCUCUGAGAGGAGGAGCCCGGAGAUGGGCACUGAGACAAGGGCCCAGGCCCUAUGGGGCGCAGCAGGCGCGAAACCUCUGCAAUAGGCGAAAGCUUGACAGGGUUACUCUGAGUGAUUCCCGCUAAGGGAAUCUUUUGGCAUCUCUAAAAACGAUGCAGAAUAAGGGGUGGGCAAGUCUGGUGUCAGCCGCCGCGGUAAUACCAGCACCCCGAGUGGUCGGGACGAUUAUUGGGCCUAAAGCAUCCGUAGCCGGUCUUGCAAGUCUUCCGUUAAAUCCACCUGCUUAACAGAUGGGCUGCGGAAGAUACUACAAGACCAGGAGGCGGGAGAGGCAAGCGGUACUCAGUGGGUAGGGGUAAAAUCCUCUGAUCCAUUGAAGACCACCAGUGGCGAAGGCGGCUUGCCAGAACGCGCUCGACGGUGAGGGAUGAAAGCUGGGGGAGCAAACCGGAUUAGAUACCCGGGUAGUCCCAGCUGUAAACGAUGCAGACUCGGUGAUGGGCCGGCUUCAUGCCGGCUCAGUGCCGCAGGGAAGCCGUUAAGUCUGCCGCCUGGGGAGUACGGUCGCAAGACUGAAACUUAAAGGAAUUGGCGGGGGAGCAC
Molecule: ribosomal RNA, 791 nt
Filed under: uncultured archaeon
Lineage: Archaea
Description: bacterial SSU rRNA
Rfam family: Archaeal small subunit ribosomal RNA
Source: RNAcentral